CUUGCGGUCAUAUAGCGUUGAAACACCUGUUCCUGUACGAUCAGCGAAGUUAAGCAACUUCGAGCCUGAUCAGUACCUAGAUAGUUGACCUCUUGGGAAUAUCAC
Non-coding RNA from Acanthosepion pharaonis, 105 nucleotides. The record is from the annotation of a GenBank genome assembly. Lineage: Eukaryota; Metazoa; Mollusca; Cephalopoda; Sepiida; Sepiidae.